Molecule: long non-coding RNA, 817 nt
Organism: Mytilus californianus (California mussel)
Lineage: Eukaryota; Metazoa; Mollusca; Bivalvia; Mytilida; Mytilidae
Exons: 3
Source: RefSeq, a predicted model, not a curated record
GUUGUCGCAUAUCAAAUGAAAGAUAAUCAAGUCUAGAUUACAUAUAUCAUACUUCCGAUAUCAAAAAUGUAGGCGGAUGGGGUCAUUAAGUGUAAAAAGUGAAAAUUUUCAGAAGGUAUGCUUGUCGUAUAUCAAAUGAAAGGUCGUACAAAGUACAUUACGAAAACAUCACUUUAACAGGAAAGACCUUUCAAUUGUUUUACAAACAAUUGAGAUACUAGUUUUUCUAAUGUUUUUUUUUCUUUUUUUUCUUUUUUUCCUUUUUUUCUUCCAACAUUUUUUUGACAGGCCCGCCCCUAGUUUCUUUUGGAGUUGUCAAGCCCAAAUAUGGACCAUCGAUAGACCUCAUUAUGAAGUAUGACCAGAUGACCCUGUUAAGGAUUUCAUCAUCCACUUUAGAAGUUAUCUCCCUUUUAUUGGAUUUUUUCAAGAUGGCCCCCCCUCGUUGUUUUUAAAGAUAUCAUAACCUUAUUUGUACAAUAGGUAGAUCUCAUCAUGAUGUAUUACCAUGUGAGGCUGCGUAGGAUUUCAUCAUCCCCUUUGAGAGUUAUAUCCCCUUGAAGCAAUUUCUUUUAUUUGCAUUUUUCUUAAAAAGUAUUAGAGAUAGAAUCGAAUUGAAAAUGGUAGCAUCUACAAGAACAGAUGGCAAUGUUAAUAAACAUAAACAAUUAGUUUGUUAUCAACCCUUAUAAGGAGUUAUUUCCCUUUCAAAAUGAUACACAAUUUAAGAAAAAAUCUAUUUCGAGAACCGGAAGUCGUAGAGACUUGGGACCUUCACCAAUAAUCUUUAAUUCAUGUGACCUUUAAUUUGCACCCG